Long non-coding RNA from Alnus glutinosa, 997 nucleotides. RefSeq lists it as uncharacterized. The transcript has 3 exons. Lineage: Eukaryota; Viridiplantae; Streptophyta; Magnoliopsida; Fagales; Betulaceae. The record is from RefSeq and is a predicted model, not a curated record.
UCCUAUUUUCUUUUCUCUUCUAUUCUUCUUCUCCCUUUCUUCUUACUUCUUCUUUUCUUCUUCGUUCUUCUGCCGAGCGACCCACGGAGACAGCAAUAGAGAGAGGGAGAGAUUCAGGGAGAUUGAGAGGGAAAGAGAGUCGAGAGACAGUGAGAUGAGACGAGAGAACGAGAUUGAGAAGAGAGGAUCCGGUGGCUCGUGCGGGGAGACUCGGAACCCAGGGGACCCGAUCCUCUGGGGACGGUGGCUAGAACCGAAAACCGACGGUUCCAGUGGAGAUUCCGGCGAGCUCGUGACCCGUAACCCGCCAGACCCGGGAGAGAAGACCCGCGACCCGUGAGCUAAACCCGACAAAUUCGGGAGGACCCGUGCGACCCGAUCUUCAAUGGCGAGGUCCGAUGCGAUUUCCGGUGUUUGGAGGCCGAUUUCCGGCGGUUCUAGUGGAUUUCCAAUGGAGACCCGUUGAACGACGAAGACCCACAACCCAUGGAACCCGAGAGUGAAACCCGUGAUCGUGAGACCCAAGAUCCAGAACCCGGUUCUCUAAGGGCGUUUUCCGGCGACUGCCAGUGGCGUUUUCCGGCGGAUUUCUCUGUUAUUGAACGCAAAAUCAUCGAGGAUUGUGUUGUAAUUGGAAACUUCGAUGGGUUCUCCAAGGUAGAGUUCGAGUAAUUGGAAUCCAGUGGGAGUUCGAGUCAGGAGUCUAAUGCAGCCAAGAUGAUGUUUCUUUGGCUGCAGGUACUUCGGUAUAGUCGAUGGGUCGGUAGCAAUGUGCUUGGGAUAUUAUGACUGAAGCUCGCCGCGACAGUUGUAAUUGUCGGACCACGGGUUGUCCACUAUUUUAUAGGUUUGGUAUGGCUUGUGACGUUUGUGUCACUUAUUCUUUGUUAAGCCAUUAUUGUUAUAGUGUUAAUAAGACUCAAACAGAUAGAUGUUAAAUGGCUCUUUGUUGUAAUUAACUUGUGAUAGAUGUAUAAGUUGUAAUUUCCGCUAUUCA